CAGCCGCCGCGGGAAUACAGAGGGUGCGAGCGUUAAUCGGAUUUACUGGGCGUAAAGCGUGCGUAGGCGGCUUUUUAAGUCGGAUGUGAAAUCCCUGAGCCUAACUUAGGAAUUGCAUUCGAUACUGGGAAGCUAGAGUAUGGGAGAGGAUGGUAGAAUUCCAGGUGUAGCGGUGAAAUGCGUAGAGAUCUGGAGGAAUACCGAUGGCGAAGGCAGCCAUCUGGCCUAAUACUGACGCUGAGGUACGAAAGCAUGGGGAGCAAACAGGAUUAGAUACCCCAGUAGUCCCUGUCUCUUAUAA
RNAcentral lists this ribosomal RNA (301 nucleotides) under uncultured bacterium. Its description in RNAcentral is "partial 16S ribosomal RNA". It matches the Rfam family "Bacterial small subunit ribosomal RNA", at positions 509 to 809 of the family's 1533-position model. The record is from RNAcentral.